This 303-nucleotide ribosomal RNA is filed under the name uncultured bacterium. Its description in RNAcentral is "bacterial SSU rRNA". It matches the Rfam family "Bacterial small subunit ribosomal RNA", at positions 774 to 1072 of the family's 1533-position model. The record is from RNAcentral.
AGUGAAUAGAUACCCGGGUAGUCCACGCUGUAAACGAUGAGUGCUGGACGUUGGCGGGUUUACCUGCCGGUGUCGCAGCUAAACGCGUUAAGCACUCCGCCUGGGGAGUACGGCCGCAAGGUUAAAACUCAAAGGAAUUGACGGGGGUCCCGCACGAGCGGUGGAGCAUGUGGUUUAAUUCGACGCAACGCGCAGAACCUUACCAGCCCUUGACAUGGGCGGACGGGGUCCAGAGAUGGACUCUUUCUCGCAAGAGACCGCUACACAGGUGCUGCAUGGCUGUCGUCAGCUCGUGUCGUGAGA